RNAcentral lists this long non-coding RNA (2000 nucleotides) under Zea mays. RNAcentral describes it as "long non-coding RNA (ZMAY_LNC001138)". The record is from RNAcentral. Lineage: Eukaryota; Viridiplantae; Streptophyta; Magnoliopsida; Poales; Poaceae.
CCCCCCAUUCCCCUACCCUCUUGGCCGCCCCUCCCAUCUCCUCCUUUCUCAAGCACUUGCAGCCACACAUCAAACCCUAGCCACCCCCCAUCUCCUCCUCCCAUGGUGCCAUUCGUUGCCGCUCGGAUCUCCGUCGCGUGGUGCAAAUCUUCAACGGUUUUCGGUGGAGGGAGGAAGGGAGGAAGAAAAGGGAGAGAACCCAAGGUGAUUUUUGUGUUUAUCUCUUAUUCAUUUUAUGCAGCAAUCCAAUUGUUUAGAUGUUGCGUGUGCGAUUUGGUAGAAGGGCUGUCCAGAAUUUUAAGGGGGUGGACGAACAACAGCAGAAUUAGUGAUUUCUGGGCAUUUUUCGUGGAAAAUUAAGGGGAAUCAGUUUGGGAAUCAUGUAGAACUUUGGCAUACCUUUCCAACGAGUAUUUAUGCACUCAAUUUUGAGUUAUAAAUUAAAAGUUAUCACCGUUUGAAACCGGGUAGGUGGCUGUCCAAAAAAACAGAUUUUCAGGGGGAUGAACAGCAGCAGUAUUAGCAGUUUCUGGGGAUUUUUCGGGAGUAAUUAGUGUUAAUCAGUAUGAGAAUCAUGUAGGGAUUUAUGUUAUCUUUCCAACAAGUACUUAUGCGCUCGAUUCGGAGUUAUAAUUUAGGAGAUAUCGUUGUUUGAAUCCGGUUAUGCUGCUGUCCAAAAAAAACAGAUUUUUCAGGUGGGUGAACAGCAGUGGUAUUAGCAGUUUCUGGGAAUUUUUCUUGGGUAAUUAGUGUUAACCAGUAUGAUAAUCAUGUAGGGAUUUGUCUUAUCUUUCCAAUGAGUACUUAUGCGCUUGAUUUGGAAUUAUAUUUUAAAAGAUAUCGCUGUUUGAAACCAGGUAUGUCGCUGUCCAAAAGACAAAGGAAAACAGAUUACAGGGUUCAUCUUGUGGACUGUUUUGGGCUAAUUAGAUAUUGAAAUUUAAUUAUAAAUUGUAUACAAAACUUGUUGGAAUUUUAUGUACAUGUCUCUGGAGUUUUUGUUUGUUACCACUGCUGUCAUAAUUUUAAAGUUAUGAAAUUAUUAAGCAGCGCCGCUGCAGUUUGGUGGGUGUAGGGAGAGAUGUAACCCGCGGCGGGGUUUGAGUUUGUGCAUAGGUGCGGCGUCGCUUAUGAGCCUAAUUAUGUGAAAUUGGUGCACUAAGUUGGGUGUCAAAAACAGGUGGUGCACUUCCGGAUCGUACUUAGGGAUUUGCCCGAACUUCCGGUAAAGGCAAGUAAAUACAGUGGUGGUUGCUACCGUUUGGUUUGCAUCCUAUUCCCUGUCAUUGAGUAUGCAUAAGUUUUAAUUAUAUUAAUCAUUGAAUUCUAUGAUGAAGUUUAUUUGUUUGGAAGUAUUAAUUCUCAAUUGUCUAAUAUUGUGGAUGAUCAUAAUUUGGUAAUGAUAUAUGUGGUUGAUUCCCAUCUUGGAUGAAGUUGAAAUAUCUUUUUGAAUCAUGUUAUAUGAAGUGUUGUAGGCAUGACAUGCACAUCGCAUCAUCCAUCUUGCAUUUUGAAGUUAUGUCGUGAUCUUAUGGUCCGACCGUACCAGUACAUUUUUAGCAUCGUACGUUGCCCGAGGAGGGGUACGAUGUGACUCCAUAUCCUUAGUGGUAUGAAGGCAGAAGUCAUCCUUGCAUUUGCAGACAUUUGCACUCAUGAGGAAUAUAUGAAGUGUGACAUUACUAUGUUACUAUUGUGGUUUCUACCUGCGAGGUGUGGUAACUAGGUGUGUUGUACGUUGUAUACGUGUUGCACCUUCAUAAUAAGAAGGUUGUGGAAUCAAGUGGUGGUAAAACAAUGUUCUUAUGUGGUUAAACUGUUUGAUAUUAUUUUACUUGCUGAGAUGUGUCAUCUCACUCUUGUAUUACUCAAUGCAGGUACUUGAUACAUGUUGGGAAUGAGGAGAGUAGCAGCACGUCCACUUUUACUCUCACAAUAACGCUGCCCAGGCGCAUCCAUGAUUUAAUUAGAAACUUAUUAUCAAAGGAAGUUUGUUUUCU